GCAAAUUGUUGCAUUCCAUCAGAGGCCUUAAUGAGGUUGCAAUACUUGGCCAAGCCAGCAACCGUCUAGGCCUUAGGUGUGGUGCUCUAUGAGAUGGUGCACGGGUUUCCACCCUUUCCUAAAGGUCUGCAACGAUUAGGCGUGGUUAGGAUUACGGGACGCAGUUAAACCAUGGAAUUUUUCAAUGUUGAAUACGAGUAUAAAACGAGUAAAGAUUAUUUUUUUGGGAGUGGUGCCUUUGGCAGGGUUUAUAGAGGAACCUAUAAAGCUGAUGGGAAAUUGGUCGACAUCAAGCGUAUAGAGCGAUGUGAGCACAAAACAGUUAUUUGUUAUCCUGGAUAUUCCACUUGUUACAGAGGUGGCACUCAUGUUGAAGUUAAAAGAAGCUCCUGAAUGCCCCUGAAUGUUAUAAGAAUGAUUGACUGGUAUAAGCGACCUGAUUACCUCACGCUUAUGUAGACAAAUGUCAAACCUUGCGUGAUUAUAUAAAAAACAAGUGUCAAACUGCCAGAAGAUCAAGCACGCAGCCUUAUGCUUCAGUUAGUAAAAACAGUUAAACAAUGCUUAAAGCACGGGGUGCUCACAGUAAUAUCCAUUUUAAAAACAUCAUGAUGGAUAAAACCGGUUUAGAACUGAAGUUAAUCGACUUUGGGAUUGGUCAUCUAUCAACAACGCUGCAUACAAAUCCAAAGGACAUAAAGGAGCACCUGAGAAAUACUCGGAGUUCAUACACAGGGUCAUGCCAAAAAAAAACGUCUUGGACGUUUUGGUUCUGUGCUAAAUAAGAUGCUGCACAGAAAAAAAAAACUUCUUUGGACCCCAAUUAUAAACCGCACUUUAACCACGAGUAAGUGAAAGACAAAAGAUUGUAUUUUAUACAUUUUACUCAUUUGGUAGACAUUUUUAUCUAAACCAACUUACAGUGUAUUCAAGGUUUAUAUUUUUCAUCAGUAUGUCUGCUCCUCUCCCACAACCUUUUGUGCUGUUAACACACCAACUGAGCUACAGGAACAAUAUCAAGAACAUAAUAGAUCAUUAAACAGACAGACAGAGAGAAAUAACAACAAUACAAGCAAAAAAUCUCAAUAUGCCAUGUCAAUAAAUGUCAUAAGUAUGUCGUGACUAACCAGCUCUUUUCUAAAACCUGAUGUCCGUGAUCUGCUUCAACAGUGCCUGAAGAAAAAUGCACAUCACCGAUUUACAAUCAAGCUGAUCUUGGCACAUGAGUGGUUUAAAAUGGAUGAGACCCGUCCAGUGGUGGCCAAGGCUACUUUAGGGAAACCGUAGUUCAUUAAAAUAAACAUUUUAAAAGUUCCUCACAUCUGAUUUACAGUCUGUUAAUGAAGGAAAAAUCUCAUGUUAACUGCAGUAACUUGCGUAAAAGUUGUUCAGGAAACUAAAAUCCAUGAUAAACCUUAAACUUUUUUCAAAUAUCAGAGCUCAACACAAAGGAUUUUGGGCAAAAAAAAUAAUUGCGUUAAAAGGAAAUAUGGAUUCAUCUUUGUUAGUCAUUCAGGAGCAGCGAGUCAUUUUCUCUUCUUUUGUUAUUUAAUACAUUUUAGAUUUCAACAGGUACUGUUUAUUAGUUGUAGUAUUUAUUUGUUUAUUAUUAUUUGUCUGUUUAAACCAAAAAGGUGCGAACAUGAACUCCGUUAGGGAAAAACCUCUGUGCUGCACACAAUACAUGUCACGUUUUCAAGUUUUAUGUGGCAGUCCAGUCCAACACAGUCAAUCAAAUCAUCAUACAGUAAAAAGAUCAUUAAAAACAAACAUGCCGUUGAGUUUUGUUGUAAAAACAGUGCAGACAGAUAAAGAAAGGCCAAUUUACAUGCCAGUAUAUAAGCAGACUUUAUUCAGUCCACAGAAAGACAAAUACUCUCCAGCCUCUGCCUGUGUUGAAAUCAUUAUGCAUUUGUAUUGUACUUUAAUAUUCUCUUAAUAUUUGUUUUUAACAAUGUGCUGCAAAAAAAAUAUAUUAAAUCAACAUAUACCAGUCAACAUUUGAAGUGGUUCAAAACCAUCAUAAAAGUUUAAUUAAAAUCAGUACCCAAUACCCAUUCUUGUCUCUGUAACUGUUGACUAUAUAUAUUUUAAGUUACUUAAAUAAAAAAAUGAAGUUAAACAAAUUCAACUUGUUUUUAUAAGUUAUGUCAACUUAUCGCAAGGAAAAACAUAAAAUAGUAGGUUGAAUUGACUUGAAGGAAAGUGUUUGAUGCUACUCAGUGGCGUAGCGUCUGGGCAUGCAGGGUAUGCACGUGCAAAUGGGCCCGGGCCAAUAGGGGGCCCAGCCCUGGGCCCACCCCAGCUUUUAAUUACAUUUUUUUUUUCAAUUUUAUUUUUAUUUGUGGCAGCAAUAAAUAUAUUUUUGUAUGCAUAUCAUGUGUAGUGAUUUCUUAUCUCUCCGUAAUGUCUAGUUUCUCCGUCAUUUCUUGUUUGCGUUUAUUAUUUUUUUUGCACUCAGCGGCUGCCAUAGACUACUACGCCAUCAUUUUUUUAAAUGACGCAUCGCCGCGCCAAAAAAAAAAGAAAACACAGUGUGAGAGGUUACUAUAGCAGCUAUCUACAUGAACAUUAAGGAUGGACGAAUAUAAACAUAAAAGUGGGGCCUCCAAGAGAAGAGAAGGCGAGAAGUUAGUCACGAGUCAAAAACUACCCAAAACAUUUUGUUUUUCUUUAUUUAAAUCUACCCUUUAAAGUAAAAAAGUAAAGUAAAAAUAUUUGACUACCUCAUUAAAAGUUUAUGUUGUUAACAGACCUGCGCGCCACAGUUAACAGUGCCAAAGGGAAAGGUUGGGGGGCUAUGGCUUAAGGGGGCCCGUAAUUUUUUUUGCAUAUGGGCCCGGGACUCACUUGCUAUGCCACUGAUGCUACUGAAAGCAUCUAUGUUAUCCUUGCAUGUAUUUUGUGUUUUAUGUUCUUCUAAAGUUUAUCUACAGGUUGACAAUGAGGGACUCUUUCCUUUCCAGCUAUUUAAAAUAAAGACAACUAUUAAAAUAAUUGUUUCAUCUAUUUAAUCCAUACACAAGUUGAUUCACACGUUGGGGGAGGGACAAUUUGAUAUCUCCAGUUCUUUGCAUGUUUUUGGCCUGUGGGAGGGAAACUGCUUUGAACCCCCGGUUUGAACCUUCAUGCUUUGAGGCAACAGUGCUACCCACUGAGCACUUUCUGUAUUUUAGGAAGUACAUCGUCCAAUAAUGGAAGGUAGUAAAAUAUUAAACUUGUUAAGUACGCCUGCAGAAAAUACUGAUACGAUCUCUUCCACCCUUCAUACACAGCCAAAAACACGUUACACUUCCUUCAAUAAUGGCAACAUUUCUUUAUGAAUUAAGACAAAAUAAUUACACAAAUUAUUAAAAUUUAUUUUUUAAAGAUUUGUUUGAUUAUGUACAAAAACAACAAACAACCAGCCUACAUAAAUUGUAAUAAUAUUUUUAACAGAUUAAUUAGAUGGACAUAUGUGAUGCUAUUUUCGUGUUCUUCAUGGAUGAAAACAUCCACUAAAUUAAACGGCUGUAAAAAUUUAUCAGAUUAAUAUUUUCUUACAUUUUUUUGCACAAUCUGAUAAUCAACCUCAGUAAUCAGUGCUGAGUGGCAAAACGUUCAACAAAAUGGCUGGUUUUCAUAGUGGCUGCUGUGAAAACGCCAGUAAAACUGAAUUUUGAAAAUUGAAUUUAGUUGGCCUUAACAGUGAUCCUAACAACUUGCCAAACAACCAGUAGUCUGUGUACAUUGGCAUAUGGACAGACAUUGCUUUUCCUGACAUAUAUGUUUGUCUUGUUAAACACUAUUAAACUAGAACACAAGGCUCAUCAUAAUGGAUGUUUUUUAUCGAAGGCUCCCUGACAA
Long non-coding RNA from Paramisgurnus dabryanus, 3846 nucleotides. RefSeq lists it as uncharacterized. The record is from RefSeq and is a predicted model, not a curated record. NCBI's taxonomy places the organism in Eukaryota, Metazoa, Chordata, Actinopteri, Cypriniformes, Cobitidae.